AUAUCAUGAUGAGGACAUUUUCUCAACAGAACCUUAAACCGUUCCCAAGAUUCAUAUAAAGAUUUCCCAUCUAAAUAAUAGAAGUUAUUCAUCUCCCUCCUAAAUUU
Small nucleolar RNA from Humulus lupulus (European hop), 107 nucleotides. The record is from RefSeq and is a predicted model, not a curated record. Lineage: Eukaryota; Viridiplantae; Streptophyta; Magnoliopsida; Rosales; Cannabaceae.